RNAcentral lists this ribosomal RNA (279 nucleotides) under uncultured bacterium. RNAcentral's name for it is "partial 16S ribosomal RNA". It matches the Rfam family "Archaeal small subunit ribosomal RNA", at positions 474 to 746 of the family's 1478-position model. The record is from RNAcentral.
CACCAGCGCCACGAGUGGCGACCGCGAUUAUUGGGCCUAAAGCGUCCGUAGUCGGACAAGUACAUCUUCUGUGAAAUCGUUGCGCUUAACGUAACGGCAUGCGGAAGACACGACUUGUCUUGAGACCGGGAGGCGUGUGAGGUAUUCCGGGGGGGACCGGUAAAAUGGUAUAAUCCCCGGAGGACCACCUGUGGCGAAGGCGUCACACGGAGAACGGAUCUGACGAUGAGGACGAAAGCCAGGGGAGCAAACCCGGAGUUAGAAAACCCUGAGAUAACG